UAAUACAGAGGGUGCAAGCGUUGUUCGGAAUCACUGGGCGUAAAGCGCGCGCAGGCGGGUGGGCAAGUCGGAAGUGAAAUCUCGCCGCUCAACGACGAGGCUGCUUCGGAUACUACCCAUCUAGGGACCGGUAGAGGCUGGUAGAAUUGCAGGUGUAGCGGUGGAAUGCGUAGAGAUCUGCAAGAAUACCCGUGGCGAAGGCGGCCAGCUGGGCCGGGUCCGACGCUGAGGCGCGAAAGCGUGGGGAGCAAACAGGAUUAGAUACCCUGGUAGUCCACGCCGUAAACGAUGGGCACUAGGUGCCGGGGGGAGCGACCCCUUCGGUGCCGCAGCUAACGCGAUAAGUGCCCCGCCUGGGAAGUACGGCCGCAAGGCUG
RNAcentral lists this ribosomal RNA (377 nucleotides) under uncultured bacterium. RNAcentral describes it as "bacterial SSU rRNA". It matches the Rfam family "Bacterial small subunit ribosomal RNA", at positions 521 to 896 of the family's 1533-position model. The record is from RNAcentral.